AGCAGCGGGAAAUUUCGCCUUUGAAAAUGAGCAAAACAAAACUGCAAUGCCAAUGGCUUCUCGCUUUGGAGUUGCCGAUAGUGACGUUAUUCAAAAUUUAAAAGCAUCUAGUGAAAACUGAAAUAUGAGAAAAAGCACCAAUUUAUGGGCUUGGGUGUUUAAAAAGUGGGUGCCGUUCAGGAACAUGGCCAUGGGCGAAAACCUUAAGACGUGCAAAGUUGAAGAACUUGAUGAGGUGUUGUCGAGAUUUUUAUACGCUGAAGUACGAAAAACAAAUGGAGAAGAAUAUGAGCCUGACUGCCUUACGGUUAUGCAAGCAUCUUUGGACCGUGUUUUCCGAGAGGAAGAUAUUCCUAGUCAAUAUUAAGGGAUAAUGAAUUUCAAAAGGUUUGGCAAUGCUUUAGUUAAGG
Paramuricea clavata is the source of this 410-nucleotide non-coding RNA. NCBI's taxonomy places the organism in Eukaryota, Metazoa, Cnidaria, Anthozoa, Malacalcyonacea, Plexauridae. The record is from the annotation of a GenBank genome assembly.